RNAcentral lists this ribosomal RNA (439 nucleotides) under uncultured bacterium. RNAcentral describes it as "partial 16S ribosomal RNA". It matches the Rfam family "Bacterial small subunit ribosomal RNA", at positions 339 to 795 of the family's 1533-position model. The record is from RNAcentral.
CUACGGGGUGCUCCAGUGAGGAAUAUUGCACAAUGGGGGGAACCCUGAUGCAGCAACGCCGCGUGGAGGAUGACGCAUUUCGGUGUGUAAACUCCUUUUAUAUGUCAAGAAAAUGACGGUAGCAUAUGAAUAAGCACCGGCUAACUCCGUGCCAGCAGCCGCGGUAAUACGGAGAGUGCAAGCGUUACUCGGAAUCACUGGGCGUAAAGGACGCGUAGGCGGGUUGGAAAGUCAGGUGUGAAAUCCUACAGCUUAACUGUAGAACUGCACUUGAAACUUCUAAUCUAGAGUAUGGGAGGGGGAGAUGGAAUUCGUGGUGUAGGGGUAAAAUCCGUAGAUAUCACUAGGAAUACCUAAAGCGAAGGCGAUCUCCUGGAACAUUACUGACGCUAAGGCGUGAAAGCGUGGGGAGCAAACAGGAUUAGAUACCCGAGUAGUC